RNAcentral lists this ribosomal RNA (253 nucleotides) under uncultured prokaryote. Its description in RNAcentral is "partial 16S ribosomal RNA". It matches the Rfam family "Bacterial small subunit ribosomal RNA", at positions 525 to 777 of the family's 1533-position model. The record is from RNAcentral.
ACGAAGGGUGCAAGCGUUACUCGGAAUUACUGGGCGUAAAGCGUGCGUAGGUGGUGGUUUAAGUCCGAUGUGAAAGCCCUGGGCUCAACCUGGGAAUGGCAUGGGAUACUGGACUGCUGGAGUGCGGUAGAGGAUGGCGGAAUUCCCGGUGUAGCAGUGAAAUGCGUAGAUAUCGGGAGGAACAUCCGUGGCGAAGGCGGCCAUCUGGACCAGCACUGACACUGAGGCACGAAAGCGUGGGGAGCAAACAGGA